RNAcentral lists this ribosomal RNA (252 nucleotides) under uncultured bacterium. RNAcentral describes it as "partial 16S ribosomal RNA". It matches the Rfam family "Bacterial small subunit ribosomal RNA", at positions 524 to 775 of the family's 1533-position model. The record is from RNAcentral.
UACGGGGGGGGCAAGCGUUGUUCGGAAUUACUGGGCGUAAAGGGCGCGUAGGCGGUUUGCUAAGUUGAAUGUGAAAACUCUGGGCUUAACCCAGAGCCUGCAUUCAAUACUGGCAGGCUAGAGUUCUGGAGGGGAUAGCGGAAUUCCUGGUGUAGCGGUGAAAUGCGUAGAUAUCAGGAGGAACACCGGUGGCGAAGGCGGCUAUCUGGACAGAGUCUGACGCUGAGGCGCGAAAGCUAGGGGAGCAAACAG